CCUACGGGAGGCAGCAGUGAGGAAUAUUGGUCAAUGGCCGAUAGCCUGAACCAGCCAAGUAGCGUGAGGGAUGAAUGCCCAGAGGGUCGCAAACUUCUUUUAUAUGGGGAUAAAAUGCCGGACGUGUCCUGCUUUGACUGUACCCUGUGAAAAAGGAUCGGCUAACUCCGUGCCAGCAGCCGCGGUAAUACGGAGGAUCCGAGCGUUAUCCGGAUUUAUUGGGUUUAAAGGGUGCGUCGGCGGGUGGUUAAGGCAGUAGUGAAAGUCGGGGGCUCAACCGUAAAAUUGAAGUUGAUACUGGCAGCCUUGAGUACAGUGGAGGCAUGCGGAAUGCGUGGUGUAGCGGUGAGAUGCAUAGAGAUCACGAAGAACCCCGAUUGCGAAGGCAGCGUGCUGUGCUGUAACUGACGCUGAUGCUCGAAAGGGUGGGGAUCAAACAGGAUUAGAUACCCGAGUAGUC
Molecule: ribosomal RNA, 460 nt
Filed under: uncultured bacterium
Lineage: Bacteria
Description: partial 16S ribosomal RNA
Rfam family: Bacterial small subunit ribosomal RNA
Source: RNAcentral